CAGCCGCCACGGGAAUACAGAGGGUGCGAGCGUUAAUCGGAUUUACUGGGCGUAAAGCGUGCGUAGGCGGCUUCUUAAGUCGGAUGUGAAAUCCCUGAGCUUAACUUAGGAAUUGCAUUCGAUACUGGGAAUCUAGAGUAUGGGAGAGGAUGGUAGAAUUCCAGGUGUAGCGGUGAAAUGCGUAGAGAUCUGGAGGAAUACCGAUGGCGAAGGCAGCCAUCUGGCCUAAUACUGACGCUGAGGUACGAAAGCAUGGGGAGCAAACAGGAUUAGAUACCCCAGUAGUCCCUGUCUCUUAUAC
RNAcentral lists this ribosomal RNA (301 nucleotides) under uncultured bacterium. RNAcentral's name for it is "partial 16S ribosomal RNA". It matches the Rfam family "Bacterial small subunit ribosomal RNA", at positions 509 to 807 of the family's 1533-position model. The record is from RNAcentral.